Parelaphostrongylus tenuis is the source of this 71-nucleotide non-coding RNA. The record is from the annotation of a GenBank genome assembly. NCBI's taxonomy places the organism in Eukaryota, Metazoa, Nematoda, Chromadorea, Rhabditida, Metastrongylidae.
GCCUCGGUGGUGUAGUGGUAGCACACAUCAUUGGUAUGGGUGAAAUACAGGUUCGAUUCCCGUUUGAGGUC